AUAAGGUAAUUCUGUAAUAAUGGUGUUACUUAUUUAUUUAUUCAUUCUUUCAUUCAAUAUAGGGUUGAUGUGUUGCACAUUUCCAGGGAGCAUCAGUGAUAUCAUCAUCUAUGUGGACAGUGCCCUUGAAGCUGUACAGGACACAACCUUCACAACCAUAUUCAGUUUGAUGAACAACAUAAACUAGGAGCUCAGUGGUCUAAAAGGACUUGACAUGUGGAAUGAAGGUCUCCUAGCCCACAAUGUAUUCAGUCCUCCCCACUACCCAGCCUCACAAGGAUACCAAUGCAGCCGUGUCAAGUGACAUUCAUUUGGAAGUCUGUGAACAAAAGAGGCAGACUCUUUACGGUUUGAGCCACCAGGGAAGCCCAAGAAGAAAGGCUUCCCUGACCAGGAAUUGGACUGGGCCAUGGCCCUGAGAGCACCUAAUCCUAACCACUAGAUCAUCAGAGAGCGUGAGUCAACUCCAAUUCUAUUAUAUAUAUAUUCACCAAAAGACAUGUACAGAAAUGGUCUUAGCACUACUAGUCAUAAAAGCCCCAAACUGGAAAUGAUCUAAAUGUCUACCAGCUGUUGAAAAUAUAUGCAAUGUACUAUACUCACGGGAAAGAAUGUUACACGUAAAUUAAAAUCAGUGCAUUAAGACUACACAGAGACUUCCUUACUGCUCCAGUGGCUAAGACUCCACACUCCAAUGCAGGGCACCCAGGUCCAAUCCCUGGUCAGGGAACUAGACCUCACAUGCCACAGCUACGACCGGCACAGUCAAAUAAAUAAAUAAAUAAAACUAUACGCA
Molecule: long non-coding RNA, 796 nt
Filed under: Bos mutus (wild yak)
Lineage: Eukaryota; Metazoa; Chordata; Mammalia; Artiodactyla; Bovidae
Description: lncRNA (ENSBMUG00000008239.1)
Source: RNAcentral